This is a long non-coding RNA of Callithrix jacchus (white-tufted-ear marmoset), 892 nucleotides long. RefSeq lists it as uncharacterized. The record is from RefSeq and is a predicted model, not a curated record. Lineage: Eukaryota; Metazoa; Chordata; Mammalia; Primates; Cebidae.
AGAGGGCUUCCCCGCAAAGCCGCAGGAAGAGGAAGAAAAAUGGCAUCAGAGGCCCGUGCCACCCUCCCCAAACUAAAGGCUGCCUCCUCUCCAGGACUUGGCAGUGUCUGACCUGGAGGUGUUCCAAGCGUGCGAAAUCCCCAGAAGUGCCAGCAGGAAAAGGCCCAGGACGGUCGGGAUGAGGAUGUGAAAUCCUUGGCCUUCCCUCCCAGACUGUGAGCCAUAGUCCAGUGCUCUGGGGAGGGAAGGAAAGGGAGAGAGAGAGGAAGAGAUUAUUAAAGGAAGUAGGUUGAGGGCGUGCUCCUGUGUGGACAACGUUUUCGGAGAGGACUUACAGAAUUCUACACAAGGCUCUGGGCAAUGUGAUCUACAGUUUGUGCCCCAUGCACUGGGCGCUUGGGAGGCCCACCCCAGCAUUUGCAGGAUCUGGGGCAGGUGUUGGACAAUGAGAACACAUGGACAUGGGAGAGCAUCACACACUGAGUGUCGAUUGCUGCUGCUGCUUAUCCCAGUAGAUAUGGAUCCAGAAACUGCAUGAUUUGGCCAUUGAUUGGAUCAAGGCCUGAAUGUGGAUAAACGAGAAGAGGUGGAUAAAAGAGCCUCCUCACUGAAUUUCCCACCUGAGAAAGGCUAUGUGGUCAGAAGUGUGGGCCUGAAGUCAGAAGAUGCAGGCUGUAGUCCUUACCAGUCACCUGUUCACUCAUCUUUACAGACAUUUUUGAGCACCUGCUAUGGGGGUAAACUAACUAUGGACUUUGAGGAAUCCUUUACUUUUCUCUGAGCCUGAAGUUUUUCAACUAGGAAAUAAAUGAAGCUGGAACUAGAUGAUCCCUGGCAUUUCCUCCUGCAGGGCAUAGUUCCUGGGGCCUUCACCGUAGCUCCCCAGCACCUC